GAUGAACGCUGACAGAAUGCUUAACACAUGCAAGUCAACUUGAAUUUGGGUUUUUAACUUAGGUUUGGGUGGCGGACGGGUGAGUAACGCGUAAAGAACUUGCCUCACAGCUAGGGACAACAUUCGGAAACGAAUGCUAAUACCUAAUAUUAUGAUAAUAGGGCAUCCUAUAAUUAUGAAAGCUAUAAGCGCUGUGAGAGAGCUUUGCGUCCCAUUAGCUAGUUGGAGAGGUAACGGCUCACCAAGGCGAUGAUGGGUAGCCGGCCUGAGAGGGUGAUCGGCCACAAGGGGACUGAGACACGGCCCUUACUCCUACGGGAGGCAGCAGUGGGGAAUAUUGGACAAUGGACCGAGAGUCUGAUCCAGCAAUUCUGUGUGCACGAUGAAGUUUUUCGGAAUGUAAAGUGCUUUCAGUUGGGAAGAAACAAAUGACGGUACCAACAGAAGAAGUGACGGCUAAAUACGUG
This 467-nucleotide ribosomal RNA is filed under the name uncultured bacterium. Its description in RNAcentral is "partial 16S ribosomal RNA". It matches the Rfam family "Bacterial small subunit ribosomal RNA", at positions 28 to 507 of the family's 1533-position model. The record is from RNAcentral.